This 254-nucleotide ribosomal RNA is filed under the name uncultured bacterium. RNAcentral's name for it is "partial 16S ribosomal RNA". It matches the Rfam family "Bacterial small subunit ribosomal RNA", at positions 524 to 776 of the family's 1533-position model. The record is from RNAcentral.
UACGAAGGGGGCUAGCGUUGCUCGGAAUCACUGGGCGUAAAGGGUGCGUAGGCGGGUCUUUAAGUCAGGGGUGAAAUCCUGGAGCUCAACUCCAGAACUGCCUUUGAUACUGAAGAUCUUGAGUUCGGGAGAGGGAUGCGGAAUUCCAAGUGUAGCGGUGAAAUGCGUAGAUAUCUGGAGGAACACCGGUGGCGAAGGCGGCAUCCUGGACCAACACUGACGCUGAGUGAGCGAAAGCCAGGGGAGCAAACGGG